ACUUUUGGGAAACCCCUUUGGGUCCCCUCCCAUUGUAUGCGAGCUCUGUUUUCACUUAUUAAAUCUUGCAGCUGCACACUUUUCUGGUCCGUGUUUGUUCCUGCUCGAGCUGAGCUUUCACUCACUGUCCACCACUGCUGUUUGCCGCCGUCGCAUACCCGCCAUUGACUUCCACCCCUCCGGAUCUGGCAGGGUGUCUGCUGCAUUUCUGAUCCAGCGAGGCACCCAUUGCCGCUUCCGUUUGGGCUAGAGGCUUGCCAUUGUUCCUGCACGGCUAAGUGCAGGAAUUUGUCCUAAUCAAGCUGAACACUAGUCACUGGGUUCCACGGUUCUCUUCUGUGACCCACGGCUUCUAAUAGAGCUAUAACAUUAACCGCAUGGACCAAGGUUCCAUUCCUUGGAUUCCGUGAGGCCAAGAACCCCAGAUCAGAGAACAAAAGGCUUGCUUCCAUCUUGGGAGUGGCCGCCACCAUCUUGUGAGCUCUAAGAACAAAGACCCACCUGUAACAUUUGGUGGCAACCGUAUGGUGAUUCUCCAAAGCGAUUUACAUUGAUCAUCCACUAUGUUCCAGAUACUACAUGAUACUAACAAGACAACAGGAGAAGUGAUAUCAAAAGACAACGACUACACCAAAAUUUGGAGAAAAAGGUGAAUCCAGACAGUCACAGGUGAGAUCUGCCGACCUGGAGCAGAGCUGCUAGAUCCAUAAGCUGGGACGUGGAUGAAGCUGGAGGCAUUAUCCUUGGCAAACUUACACAGGAGCAGAAAACCAAAUACCACAUGUUCUCACCUGUAAGUGGGAGCUAAAUUAUGAGAACAUGUAGACACAUAGAGAGGAACAACACACACUGGGGCCUAUUGGAACGUGGAGGGUGGGAGGAGGGAGAGGAUCAAGAAAAACAUUUAGUGGGUACUAGACUUAAUACCUGGAUGAUGAAAUAAUCUGUACAACAAACCUCCAUGACACCCAUUUACCUGUGUAACAAACCUGCACAUGUAUUCCUGAACUUGAAAUAAAAGUUUUUUUAAGUGUAACUUACCAUUUUAAAAAAUAGUAUUUUUAA
Molecule: long non-coding RNA, 1065 nt
Filed under: Homo sapiens (human)
Lineage: Eukaryota; Metazoa; Chordata; Mammalia; Primates; Hominidae
Description: HSALNT0045339
Source: RNAcentral